RNAcentral lists this ribosomal RNA (253 nucleotides) under uncultured bacterium. RNAcentral's name for it is "partial 16S ribosomal RNA". It matches the Rfam family "Bacterial small subunit ribosomal RNA", at positions 524 to 776 of the family's 1533-position model. The record is from RNAcentral.
UACAGAGGGUGCAAGCGUUGUUCGGAAUUACUGGGCGUAAAGCGUGCGCAGGCGGUUUUGCAAGUCAGAUGUGAAAUCCCCGGGCUUAACCUGGGAACUGCGUUUGAAACUACAAGGCUAGAGUGUGGCAGAGGGGGGUGGAAUUCCACGUGUAGCAGUGAAAUGCGUAGAGAUGUGGAGGAACACCGAUGGCGAAGGCAGCCCCCUGGGUUAACACUGACGCUCAGGCACGAAAGCGUGGGGAGCAAACAGG